AGUGAACGCUGGCGGUAGGCCUAACACAUGCAAGUCGAACGGCAGCACAGUAAGAGCUUGCUCUUACGGGUGGCGAGUGGCGGACGGGUGAGGAAUACAUCGGAAUCUACUUUUUCGUGGGGGAUAACGUAGGGAAACUUACGCUAAUACCGCAUACGACCUACGGGUGAAAGCAGGGGAUCUUCGGACCUUGCGCGAUUGAAUGAGCCGAUGUCGGAUUAGCUAGUUGGCGGGGUAAAGGCCCACCAAGGCGACGAUCCGUAGCUGGUCUCAGAGGAUGAUCAGCCACACUGGAACUGAGAGACGGUCCAGACUCCUACGGGAGGCAGCAGUGGGGAAUAUUGGACAAUGGGCGCAAGCCUGAUCCAGCCAUACCGCGUGGGUGAAGAAGGCCUUCGGGUUGUAAAGCCCUUUUGUUGGGAAAGAAAAGCAGCAGGUUAAUACCCCGCUGUUCUGACGGUACCCAAAGAAUAAGCACCGGCUAACUUCGUG
RNAcentral lists this ribosomal RNA (492 nucleotides) under uncultured bacterium. RNAcentral describes it as "partial 16S ribosomal RNA". It matches the Rfam family "Bacterial small subunit ribosomal RNA", at positions 29 to 507 of the family's 1533-position model. The record is from RNAcentral.